UGCCUGAAUGCUUAAGGAUCACUAUGAUAAAGUGAACAUAGAGGUAUACCAGCCCUCUCAUUUCCUCACACUUAG
Molecule: transfer RNA, 75 nt
Filed under: Lonchura grandis (Grand munia)
Lineage: Eukaryota; Metazoa; Chordata; Aves; Passeriformes; Estrildidae
Description: tRNA-Ile
Source: RNAcentral